Molecule: ribosomal RNA, 186 nt
Filed under: uncultured Bacillus sp.
Lineage: Bacteria; Bacillati; Bacillota; Bacilli; Caryophanales; Bacillaceae
Description: partial 16S ribosomal RNA
Source: RNAcentral
AUUACCGCGGCUGCUGGCACGUAGUUAGCCGUGGCUUUCUGGUUAGGUACCGUCAAGGUGCCAGCUUAUUCAACUAGCACUUGUUCUUCCCUAACAACAGAGUUUUACGACCCGAAAGCCUUCAUCACUCACGCGGCGUUGCUCCGUCAGACUUUCGUCCAUUGCGGAAGAUUCCCUACUGCUGCC